RNAcentral lists this ribosomal RNA (446 nucleotides) under uncultured bacterium. RNAcentral describes it as "bacterial SSU rRNA". It matches the Rfam family "Bacterial small subunit ribosomal RNA", at positions 329 to 792 of the family's 1533-position model. The record is from RNAcentral.
GGCCAGACUCCUACGGGAGGCAGCAGUGGGGGAUAUUGCACAAUGGGGGAAACCCUGAUGCAGCGACGCCGCGUGGGUGAAGAAGCGCCUCGGCGCGUAAAGCCCUGUCAGCAGGGAAGAAAAUGACGGUACCUGAGUAAGAAGCCCCGGCUAACUACGUGCCAGCAGCCGCGGUAAUACGUAGGGGGCAAGCGUUAUCCGGAUUUACUGGGUGUAAAGGGAGCGUAGACGGUAUGGCAAGUCUGAAGUGAAAGCCCCGGGCUCAACCUGGGAACUGCUCUGGAAACUGUUAAACUAGAGUGCUGGAGAGGCAGGCGGAAUUCCUAGUGUAGCGGUGAAAUGCGUAGAUAUUAGGAGGAACACCAGUGGCGAAGGCGGCCUGCUGGACAGUAACUGACGUUGAGGCUCGAAAGCGUGGGGAGCAAACAGGAUUAGAUACCCCAGUA